This 556-nucleotide ribosomal RNA is filed under the name Staphylococcus aureus. RNAcentral describes it as "partial 23S ribosomal RNA". It matches the Rfam family "Bacterial large subunit ribosomal RNA", at positions 2287 to 2844 of the family's 2925-position model. The record is from RNAcentral. Lineage: Bacteria; Bacillati; Bacillota; Bacilli; Caryophanales; Staphylococcaceae.
CUCCUAAAAGGUAACGGAGGCGCUCAAAGGUUCCCUCAGAAUGGUUGGAAAUCAUUCAUAGAGUGUAAAGGCAUAAGGGAGCUUGACUGCGAGACCUACAAGUCGAGCAGGGUCGAAAGACGGACUUAGUGAUCCGGUGGUUCCGCAUGGAAGGGCCAUCGCUCAACGGAUAAAAGCUACCCCGGGGAUAACAGGCUUAUCUCCCCCAAGAGUUCACAUCGACGGGGAGGUUUGGCACCUCGAUGUCGGCUCAUCGCAUCCUGGGGCUGUAGUCGGUCCCAAGGGUUGGGCUGUUCGCCCAUUAAAGCGGUACGCGAGCUGGGUUCAGAACGUCGUGAGACAGUUCGGUCCCUAUCCGUCGUGGGCGUAGGAAAUUUGAGAGGAGCUGUCCUUAGUACGAGAGGACCGGGAUGGACAUACCUCUGGUGUACCAGUUGUCGUGCCAACGGCAUAGCUGGGUAGCUAUGUGUGGACGGGAUAAGUGCUGAAAGCAUCUAAGCAUGAAGCCCCCCUCAAGAUGAGAUUUCCCAACUUCGGUUAUAAGAUCCCUCAAAGA